RNAcentral lists this ribosomal RNA (238 nucleotides) under uncultured Lactobacillus sp. RNAcentral's name for it is "partial 16S ribosomal RNA". It matches the Rfam family "Bacterial small subunit ribosomal RNA", at positions 122 to 354 of the family's 1533-position model. Lineage: Bacteria; Bacillati; Bacillota; Bacilli; Lactobacillales; Lactobacillaceae. The record is from RNAcentral.
UAACCUGCCCAAGAGAUCGGGAUAACACCUGGAAACAGAUGCUAAUACCGGAUAACAACAGAUGAUGCCUAUCAACUGUUUAAAAGAUGGUUCUGCUAUCACUCUUGGAUGGGCCUGCGGUGCAUUAGCUAGUUGGUAGGGUAACGGCCUACCAAGGCGAUGAUGCAUAGCCGAGUUGAGAGACUGAUCGGCCACAUUGGGACUGAGACACGGCCCAAACUCCUACGGGAGGCAGCAG